AUAAAACAGGGCUGCAGAGGGCAGAGAGACACCACACUACUACUGAAGACCAGAAGACAUCAUCCAGACAAACAGCCAUCAAUCAGACAGCAUCGUCCAACUGUAAGAGUAAACGAUGAAGAUUCAGAGUAUGUUACUGCUGUUCGCUCUAGUGGGUGUCCUGUUAGCAAGCUCCCUCAAUGAAGAUAACUCUGAGGAAGCUCUCCUGCAGGAGGAUGAUGUAAAAGGUGUAAAGGCUGCCUUUUUGGCAAAGUUGGCUUCUCUGAAGAACAGCGCCUCUGAAGAUGAAGCACCA
Long non-coding RNA from Salvelinus sp. IW2-2015, 295 nucleotides. RefSeq lists it as uncharacterized. NCBI's taxonomy places the organism in Eukaryota, Metazoa, Chordata, Actinopteri, Salmoniformes, Salmonidae. The record is from RefSeq and is a predicted model, not a curated record.